Molecule: ribosomal RNA, 593 nt
Filed under: uncultured bacterium
Lineage: Bacteria
Description: bacterial SSU rRNA
Rfam family: Bacterial small subunit ribosomal RNA
Source: RNAcentral
GUCGAACGGAAACAUGUCUAGCUUGCUAGAUGAUGUCGAGUGGCGGACGGGUGAGUAAUACUUAGGAACAUGCCUUUGGGUGGGGGAUAACUAUUGGAAACGAUAGCUAAUACCGCAUAAUGUCUACGGACCAAAGGGGGGAGCUUGCUCCUCUCGCCCAGAGAGUGGCCUAAGCGAGAUUAGCUUGUUGGUGAGGUAAAGGCUCACCAAGGCGACGAUCUCUAGCUGUUCUGAGAGGAAGAUCAGCCACACUGGGACUGAGACACGGCCCAGACUCCUACGGGAGGCAGCAGUGGGGAAUAUUGCACAAUGGAGGAAACUCUGAUGCAGCCAUGCCGCGUGUGUGAAGAAGGCCUUCGGGUUGUAAAGCACUUUCAGUUGUGAGGAAAGCUUGGUGGUUAAUACCCAUCAGGUAUGACGUUAGCAACAGAAGAAGGACCGGCUAACUCCGUGCCAGCAGCCGCGGUAAUACGGAGGGUCCGAGCGUUAAUCGGAAUUACUGGGCGUAAAGCGCACGCAGGCGGUUUGUUAAGCUAGAUGUGAAAGCCCCGGGCUCAACCUGGGAAUAGCAUUUAGAACUGGCAGACUAGAGU